UGUGGUAGGAAGAGCCUGGAAGAUUAAUUUGGCUAGAGAACAGAAUGUAAAUGUUACAACUUUGACAACAUAAACACGUAGUUGACAAAAGAUGGGACUGAGAGGGCAAAGAUACACAUGUUAAUAUCUGUCUUCUUACAAAGUAGUCAACAGAUUGUUGAAAGUAGAUGGAGCAAGAAAUAGAGGUUUAAGUCUAUCACUGAAAAUUACAAGUGUAAUUAAUAAAAUUAAUAAUAACAUAAAUAUUAAACACUGGGAGAAGAGAAGAAAAGUAGUCAAUGUUAAAUUUUCAUCUUUCAGAGUAGAGAUUGGUCUUGGCUUGUGAAGUUGGGAUAAAAAGUAUUUUAUAUGCAUAAUACCUAGAGUUGUGGAGGAACCCACCAAAACACCUAGGCAGACCAUUCACAGAAGGUCAUCCAUGGGUAACUGCAGUACUUGCUAUAAUCCCAUGCUAUGUGGACUAGAUUGCUGAAGACAGAUCCCUAACCGAAGCACAACAUUCUGCAUUUUCCAUAUAUACUGGUUUCCCACGUCUUCACAUUUGGUUUAAUAAUCAAUACAAAGAAUUGCAAUUUCUAUAAUGUGUGUUGUUAGCAAAUAAUAUCUAUGGCACCUUAACUGUCAUUAUCCACAUCUGACAAGAAUUCAGGUGUCACUGGACACAUUUUCUCUUCAUGCCUUAUAAACAUUAAGAAUACAAGAAAGGUUACAUCCUUUAGAAUCAUGAAAACCCCAACUUACCACAGUAUUAUUCACAGUUUCCAGUGUGUUAUUUUACCUUCUGACAAGUUUUAUAAAGGAGAAGGGAAUAAAACUAACUUACAUUACAUACAAGAUGUUGCCUACAUAGAUGCCAGAAAGGGAAGCAAAUGAACAGCCAGAACAUAUGGCAGUGAGCUGACAGCAUAAAGAAACUAGUUCUGCAUGAGCAACAAGAAACAUCUUGAAAUGUUCAAGACAUAUGUGUUUUUAGGAAGAAGACUGAAGUGUUUCAUAAUAAAAACAGGACAAAGUGA
Cebus imitator (Panamanian white-faced capuchin) is the source of this 1016-nucleotide long non-coding RNA. RefSeq lists it as uncharacterized. NCBI's taxonomy places the organism in Eukaryota, Metazoa, Chordata, Mammalia, Primates, Cebidae. The record is from RefSeq and is a predicted model, not a curated record. The transcript is spliced from 3 exons.